UAGCAAGCAAGGAACUUGUACUAUGGCCAA
This 30-nucleotide non-coding RNA is filed under the name Mus musculus (house mouse). The record is from RNAcentral. Lineage: Eukaryota; Metazoa; Chordata; Mammalia; Rodentia; Muridae.